CUCUUUUGUUCUGGAACGGGCCGAGCCCCAGGAAGUGGAGCUGCGGAGCUGAGGCCUCACCGUGUCUUGGCCCACCCUGCUCAGCUGAUAGGAAGGUGUGUCACCUCUUUCCUAAUCGGGGAAAGAAAGGUAUUGUCACUUCUCAGAAUUGGAGAGCGCGGCAAGGAGUGCACAGGGCCAGGUGUCUUCUCGCUCCCACAGCCAAGCAGCAGAUGCAGAGUCCCACGCGCUGCCUGUGGCCAUCAAGUCGAUAUAGAGCCUCGUGGCGGCUUGGCCCUUGUGAAUCUUCCACGUAUCGAUGGCGCACCUACCUUGUGCCAGGCGCAGCGGAUCCCACAAUGUAAAAGAAGAGGAAAUACACUGCGACAUGUGAUAUGGAGAGACAUGAAACAAAUCAGCAGAGGCAAGAUCAUGGAGUCACUGAAGGCUUUCAAGCAAGGGAUUAUUAGCAGCCCAAUUUGCUGGGUUUUAGAAAGACACCGGCUGCACUGUGGCCGACAGAGGAAAAGCCAGAGACAGGGAGAUCCGCCCCCUAAAUGGGAGAGGGUGGCCUGAACUAGAGUAACCGCAGGGAGGGUGGAGCGCUGAUCAUUUCAAGGAUCUUCAGGAACUGAAAUGAUCAGAACUUGGGAAUGACUGCAUGUGCGAAUAAGGGGGAAAAGUCAAGGAAAUGCCCAGGUUUGGGGCCCAAGGAACAGGUUUGGGAGGCCGAGGUGAGGAGUUCAGCUUUGGACAUAAUGAGUUUGAGAUGCCCACAGGACAUCCAAAUACAAAUGUUAAAGGGGUAACUGAAUAUAUGUGACUGGAGUUUGCGAAAUCAAGGCUGGUGAUAGAGAUUCUGGAAUCUUCUGAAAGCAGAUGGCAAUUGAAGCUAUGGAAAUGGAUGAGAGAGUGUGUAAAGAGCACGAGGGCCCAGGUUAGAACAGCAAGGGCAGGUAGAGAAGUCACCAAAGGACACUGACCAGAUCUGUCCCAUGAUGAAUCUGGGUUGUCCCUGUGUGAGCCCCUUGAACCAACAGAUUGUGGCAGAGUGACAUUGCACCAGUCUGAGACCUACACCUUAAGGAUGCCUGGCAGCUCCUGCUUUUGUGUUCCUCGGAGUCAUGAGCCACGAAGUCAAGCUACCCUGCUGGAGAGACCAGCUGAAGAAGCCUCUUGAAGAGGACCUGAGACUUAAGGCUCAGCCAUCCCAGACUGUGAGUUAAACCUCCAGAUGAGUCCAACCCCACCUGCUAUCUGACUACAGCUACAUAGACGACAAACCACCUAAGUGAUUCCAGUCAACCCACACAACUGUAAAAGAUAAUAAAAGUUGUUUAAGUCA
RNAcentral lists this long non-coding RNA (1324 nucleotides) under Homo sapiens (human). RNAcentral's name for it is "non-protein coding lnc-FAM103A1-2:4". Lineage: Eukaryota; Metazoa; Chordata; Mammalia; Primates; Hominidae. The record is from RNAcentral.